This 300-nucleotide ribosomal RNA is filed under the name Mucilaginibacter sp. SF-2. RNAcentral describes it as "bacterial SSU rRNA". It matches the Rfam family "Bacterial small subunit ribosomal RNA", at positions 490 to 779 of the family's 1533-position model. Lineage: Bacteria; Pseudomonadati; Bacteroidota; Sphingobacteriia; Sphingobacteriales; Sphingobacteriaceae. The record is from RNAcentral.
GGAUCGGUUAAUUCGGUGCCAGCAGCCGUGAUAAUACGGAGGAUCCAAGCGUUAUCCGGAUUUAUGGUAUUUAAAGCGUGCGUAGCUGGCCUAUUAAGUCCAGUGAGAGAAUGACGGCUCGCUUACCUAUGCACCUCGUGCUAGAUCCCUGAGUGUGCUUGAAUGAACUAGAGGUAGACGGAACGGGACAACUAGCGGAGAAAUGCAUAGAUGUGGCACAGAACACCACAUAGAGAGGCCAGCUUACUAUCGUUUUCAUGGCACACGGAGGCAAGAAAGCGGGGCGAUACAAACAGGAUU